RNAcentral lists this small RNA (591 nucleotides) under Pongo abelii (Sumatran orangutan). RNAcentral describes it as "retained intron". Lineage: Eukaryota; Metazoa; Chordata; Mammalia; Primates; Hominidae. The record is from RNAcentral.
UUGUUUUUGAGUGGGAUGCAUCUGAGGACACAUCCAUUGACUACAACCCCCUGUGAGUGGCUUCAGGCCUGAGUUCUAGGUCUUUUCCACUAGGCAGUCCUAGGGAGCUGAUGACUACAGAGGUGGAGAAAGUAAGAUAAGCUGGGAUGGAAAAUUGGUAGACUGGUAGUCAGCCAGCCCUCUGGUGGAAGAAAGACCCUGUCCAGAAAGAACUGUUUCAUACUAGUAGUCUGCCCUUCCCUUCUACUGCCGUAGCAGCUCCUUCUUUUUUCUUUUCCUCUAUCUCAAUCCCAGGUACAAAGAACGGCACCAGGUGCAGUUAUUAGGGCGAGGCUUCAUUGCAGGCAUUGACCUCAAGCAGCAGAAACGAGAGCAGUCACGUUUCUAUGGAGACCUAAUGGAGAAGAGGCGAACCCUGGAAGAAAAGGAGCAGGAGGAGGCAAGACUCCGCAAACUUCGUAAGAAGGAAGCCAAGCAGCGCUGGGAUGAUCGUCAUUGGUCUCAGAAAAAGUUAGAUGAGAUGACGGACAGGGACUGGCGGAUCUUCCGUGAGGACUACAGCAUCACCACCAAAGGUGGCAAGAUCCCCAA